GGCAAGGGCGUUUGGCACACGGCUCAGCAACACGUGGCUAACCUACCCUUUGGAUGCGUUAAUCCCGGGAAACUGGGGAUAAUGCGCUAUAGGAAACCUGUUCUGGAAAGUCUUGUUUCCGAAAAAGAAGCAACUAUUGCCGUUGCUUUCUGCCGAAGGAAGGGGCUGCGGCGUAUUAGGCUGUUGGCGGGGUAAUGGCCCACCAAACCUUUGAUGCGUACGGGCCUUGAGAGAGGGAGCCCGGAGAAGGGUACUGAGACAAGGACCCUAGCCCUACGGGGUGCAGCAGUUAGGAAACCUUUACAAUGCGCGAAAGCGUGAUAGGGUGACUUUGAGUGCCAACACUGUUGGCUUUUGCCAAGUCUAAACCGCUUGGCGAAUAAGUGGGGGGUAAUAUACGUGCCAGCCGCCGCGGUAAUACGUAAUCCACAAGUGGUGCUCACUAAUAUUGGGCCUAAAACACCUGUAGCCCGCCGAUUAAGUCUUUGGUGAAAUCGGACAGCUUAACUGUUCGAAUGGCUAAAGAUACUGUUCGGCUAGAAGCUGGGAGGCGUGAACGGAAUUUUUUGGGUAACGGUGAAAUGUUAUGAUCCAAAAAAGACCUCCAGUGGCGAAGGCGGUUCACGAGAACAGUCUUGACGGUGAGAGGUGAAAGCUGGGGGAGCGACCCGGAUUAGAUACCCGGUUAGUCCCAGCCGUAAACGAUGUGGACUUGGUGUUCCAGCAUCUUUAUGGUGCAGGAGUGCCGUAGCGAAGGCGUUUAGUCCACUGCCUGGGGAGUACACUCGCAAGGGUGAAACUUAAUGGAAUUGGCGGGAGCGCACUACAAGGGGUGGAUGCUGCGGUUCAAUUGGAUGCAACGCCAGAAUAUCUUACCAGGGACGACAGCAGAAUGAUGGACAGUCUGAAGGGCUUUCCUGACACGCUGAGAGGUACUGUAUGGUCAUCGUCAGCUCGUACUAUGAAGCGUCCUGUUAACUCAGGCAACGGGCGAGACCCACGCGCAUAGUUGCAAUUUCCAAUUUUUUGGAAAGCACUCUAUGCGGACUGCGGAGGAAACUUUGAGGAAGGAGUGGGCCACGGUAGAUCUGUAUGAUCCGAAUUUCCUGGGCUACACGCGGCAUACAAUGGCUGAUACAAUGGGACCCUAACCCGAAAGGGCGCGGAAAUCUCCUAAAAUCAGCCUCAGUCCAGAUUGAGGGCUGUAACCCGCCCUCAUGAAGUUGGAAUCCCCAGUAAUCGCGCGUCACUAUCGCGCGGUGAAUAUGUCCCUGCGCUUUGCACACACCGCCCAUCAAGCCAACUGAAUAGGGCUUUGAUGAGGUGGCCUCAUUAGAGGUCAACGAUUCUGAGUCUUGUGAAGUGGGCUAAGUUGUAACAAGGUG
Molecule: ribosomal RNA, 1385 nt
Filed under: metagenome
Description: bacterial SSU rRNA
Rfam family: Archaeal small subunit ribosomal RNA
Source: RNAcentral